ACCAGGCGCGGUGGCGCACGCCUGUCAUCCCAGCAGCUCUGGAGGCUGAGGCAGGAGGAUCGUGAGUUCAAAGCCAGCCUCAGCAAUGGCGAGGCACUAAGCAACUCAGUGAGACCCUGUCUCUA
RNAcentral lists this small RNA (125 nucleotides) under Marmota monax (woodchuck). The record is from RNAcentral. Lineage: Eukaryota; Metazoa; Chordata; Mammalia; Rodentia; Sciuridae.